RNAcentral lists this ribosomal RNA (501 nucleotides) under uncultured bacterium. RNAcentral's name for it is "partial 16S ribosomal RNA". It matches the Rfam family "Bacterial small subunit ribosomal RNA", at positions 30 to 523 of the family's 1533-position model. The record is from RNAcentral.
AUUGAACGCUGGCGGCAGGCUUAACACAUGCAAGUCGAGCGGGCGAGGUUGCUUCGGUAACUGAGCUAGCGGCGGACGGGUGAGUAAUGCUUAGGAAUCUGCCUAUUAGUGGGGGACAACAUUCCGAAAGGAAUGCUAAUACCGCAUACGCCCUACGGGGGAAAGCAGGGGAUCUUCGGACCUUGCGCUAGUAGAUGAGCCUAAGUCAGAUUAGCUAGUUGGUGGGGUAAAGGCCUACCAAGGCGACGAUCUGUAGCGGGUCUGAGAGGAUGAUCCGCCACACUGGGACUGAGACACGGCCCAGACUCCUACGGGAGGCAGUAGUGGGGAAUAUUGGACAAUGGGCGCAAGCCUGAUCCAGCCAUGCCGCGUGUGUGAAGAAGGCCUUUUGGUUGUAAAGCACUUUAAGCGAGGAGGAGGCUACCUGGAUUAAUACUCUAGGAUAGUGGACGUUACUCGCAGAAUAAGCACCGGCUAACUCUGUGCCAGCCGCCGCGGUAA